GCCUCCGUGGCGCAAUUGGCUAGCGCGUUCGGCUGUUAACCGAAAGGUUGGUGGUUCGAGCCCACCUGGGGGCG
RNAcentral lists this transfer RNA (74 nucleotides) under Schistocerca gregaria. RNAcentral describes it as "transfer RNA asparagine (anticodon GUU)". It matches the Rfam family "tRNA". Rfam says of the family: Transfer RNA (tRNA) molecules are approximately 80 nucleotides in length. Their secondary structure includes four short double-helical elements and three loops (D, anti-codon, and T loops). RNAcentral also lists the same sequence under 6 other names. The record is from RNAcentral. Lineage: Eukaryota; Metazoa; Arthropoda; Insecta; Orthoptera; Acrididae.